Columba livia (rock pigeon) is the source of this 679-nucleotide long non-coding RNA. RefSeq lists it as uncharacterized. NCBI's taxonomy places the organism in Eukaryota, Metazoa, Chordata, Aves, Columbiformes, Columbidae. The record is from RefSeq and is a predicted model, not a curated record. The transcript is spliced from 4 exons.
UGGUAUGGGAAAAAUCCUUCCCAUCCCUCACACCUGGCAAUCAGCCUUUCCGUCUGCAGCACGAGAAAGCUGGCAAUUAGAUGCAAGGAGAGGCUGAGGUGGGCAAUGGUGAGCAGCAAACCUUUUGAGGAUAGGGACUCCUGUCAGGAAACUCACUGAAGGAAAACCAGUAAACAGUCCAACAAGGGUGACUUACACUCUGAAGAUGCUUUUCCUCCUUAUAUUUAAUAAGAAGAUCUGGAUAGCCAUCUCAGGUAAUACCUACGGCUGCCCAUAUCUUCAUAAGAUUUUGUGUUUCAAAAUGGUAAAAAGAAAAUAGAUCAAUCUAGGUUAAAAUGAACAUUAAAUCCGAUAAGGAAAGGACAAGGAGCACCUCAGCUAAGAUUAUCGUCCUGAGAUUCAACAAAUCUGUUUCCUGAUGACUGGAGAAGCAUGAAAACUCUUAUUGGAAAUUGCUGACUUCCUCAAAUAUUACAUAUUCACUGGAUUUAGCUUUUAAACAAAGAACCACAAUAUUUUUUACUUAUCUGGCUUCUAUUGCUCAUAACUAAAAGUAAAUAAAUGCAUAAACCAGCAAACAGCGAAAAACUUCCUUCUGCAACAUGAAAAUCCUCUCUGCCAACAAUUUGAUUGUGUCCUAGGGACACACAGAGAUGGAAUUAAAAGGAAAGAUCCUCUA